RNAcentral lists this ribosomal RNA (255 nucleotides) under Pyrenula balia. Its description in RNAcentral is "partial small subunit ribosomal RNA". Lineage: Eukaryota; Fungi; Ascomycota; Eurotiomycetes; Pyrenulales; Pyrenulaceae. The record is from RNAcentral.
AAGUCGUAACAAGGUUUCCUUCUGUUGAAGACUUACCGAAGCCUAACGCAGCGACUUGAAAAAAUUGCGGAGUCUCCUUCGUGGGAUGAUACCGCCGAAAUGCUGGGAUUGGAGUUUCAGCUUCUAACCAGCAGCCACACCGUGGCUCACAGAUCAGCGAGCGGUGGUUCUUUAACCGGAACUAUGAUAUGACCGGUCUCAUCCCUCUGGGUUGAGAGGAUACGUUCCGUAGGUGAACCUGCGGAAGGAUCAUUA